This 938-nucleotide ribosomal RNA is filed under the name uncultured archaeon. RNAcentral describes it as "bacterial SSU rRNA". It matches the Rfam family "Archaeal small subunit ribosomal RNA", at positions 1 to 924 of the family's 1478-position model. The record is from RNAcentral.
UUCCGGUUGAUCCUGCCGGACCCCACUGCUAUCGAGGUGGGACUAAGCCAUGCCAGUCGAACGACCCGGACUAUGGCGGGGAGUGGCAGACUGCUCAGUAACACGUAGCUAACCUACCCUCGGGACGGGGAUAACCCCGGGAAACUGGGGCUAAUACCCGAUAGGUAUGGAUUCCUGGAAUGGUGCCAUGCCUAAACGUAAGCACAUCCAUGUUUGUGUGCACGCCCGAGGAUGGGGCUGCGGCCGAUCAGGCAGUUGGUGAGGUAACGGCUCACCAAACCUUUGACCGGUACGGGCCAUGAGAGUGGUAGCCCGGAGAUGGGCACUGAGACAAGGGCCCAGGCCCUACGGGGCGCAGCAGGCGCGAAACCUCCACAAUUCACGCAAGUGAGAUGGGGUUACCUCGAGUGCUAUCUGAAGAAGGUGGCUUUUCCAUGGUGUAAUGAGCCGUGGGAAUAAGGGGGGGGCAAGACUGGUGUCAGCCGCCGCGGUAACACCAGCCCCCCGAGUGGUGGGGAUGAUUAUUUGGCCUAAAGCGUCCGUAGCCAGCUCGGUAAAUCUCUCGUUAAAUCCAGCGUCCUAAGCGUUGGGCUGCGAGGGGAACUGCCGAACUAGAGGGUGGGAGAGGUCAGCGGUAUUCCUGGGGUAGGGGCGAAAUCCAUUGAUCCCAGGAGGACCACCAGUGGCGAAGGCUGCUGACUAGAACACGCCUGACGGUGAGGGACGAAAGCUGGGGUAGCGAAUCGGAUUAGAUACCCGAGUAGUCCCAGCCGUAAACGAUGCAGCUAGGUGUUGGGUCGGCCAUGCGCCGCCUCAGUGCCACAGGGAAGCCAUUAAGCCUGCCGCCUGGGGAGUACGGGCGCAAGGCUGAACUUAAGGAAUUGGCGGGGAGCACCACCAGCGUGAAGCCUGCGAUUAAUUGGAAUCAACGCCGGAAA